AUCAUCUACAACGUCCGCGCAUGACCCAACCUCGUCGAGAGCACCUCCGGGAGCCGGGAUCUCCAGAUGGUAACCUCCUCCUAUCUCGAUCCCUUCCCACCUAGCAUAGAUGCCUCAUUUACUGCUUAUGUGCGUGCCAAAUCCAUGCCUGGGACCGACCAAGGGGUCUGCUUUUAGUUGGCCGUGUUCAUAUUUGUUGAUAUUCUCAAAGUGUAGCAUGUACGAGUUUUAUUUGUUGACACUCUCCUCAUGUGAAGUGAUUAGUUAGCAAUUUGGACCGGUGGAUGGAGUUUGGUACAUGUAAAACGGUUCUGGCAUUGUCAUUUCUGAGCAUAUUUUGUAAUGGUAGCCUGCAAUGGGGUUGACACUCUGCUCAUAUGCAUUUUAGCUCUUUUGCUUUUAAUCUGUUAGCAGUGGUCACCAUUAUAUAUUGCCUGUGAAUAAGUAUUUCAACUCAUUCGCAUUGAAUCUGUUUACAACAGUCACAAAUACUUGUUUGCUUCAUGAUUAUAUGUUGCCAUGAUGAUUUAAGAUGAUUAGCUGAUGCUGAACAAGUUAUAUCAUUCUGACCAUGUGAAUUUGUUAGUGGUGCACUUAUUUUCAGAAGUAGCAUUUACACCGAAGCUCCUUGCAUAUAUAUGACACUGCUUGGUACAUGUAAAAUGGUUCUGGCAUUCUCAUCUCUGAGCAUAUUCUGUAACUGUAGCCUACAAGGGGAUUGAGCAUAUAUGCAUUUUAGAAAUACUACUGUUUUCAGUUGACAGACUCAAAUAAUGCAGCAUGCAUUGUCCUUUUCCCUGCACAAAUAAUGCAGUAUGAGAUGUGUGACCACAUCAUGUAAUUGUUGUAAUGGUUCAUGAUUCAGUUUUUCACUUGUGUAAUCUUCGUUUACUCUGCUCAAGGGCUGCCCUAGUUAGUUAGUUUUGAUAGGGUCCUUACUGCAUAUGCUGCUGGAAUCUAAUUUGACCUGUUAAGAAUGAGUGUCAAUCAAUCAAACACAAGGAAAUUAAAUGCUCACUAUUUCUCAUAGUGAUUGUUGUGUCGUGUAUAGGUCAAACUAGUGCUGUCCUUGUCUACUUUUGAGGCAUCAACAUGUGUUGCCAUGGUUUUGGUUUUGGUUUCCGGUUGAUGCAUGGUUGGUUUGCUAGCUGUUCGUUAGUACCUACUGGUUGUUACUAUUCCUCUUUUGAGUUAGUUUCCCUGUGUGAGACAGAUUUCUUUCUUGAUGUACCAAUCCUCAAUUAAUGCCUCAUGAAGCUCUUUUUGUAUGCGACCUUCUGUUCAAAUAUUUGUACUCCCUCCGAUCCAUAUUAAUUAACGCUGGUUUAGUAGAACAGUUCUACUAAACUAGCGUAAAUUAAUAUGGAUCAGAGGGAGUACAUGAUUUUGAUUUCCCAAACAUACAAAUGAUUUGCAAGUUGGACUGGAUGUUUUCGAGAAGAUUUCUUAGUGUAGGACCUGGUGCAUGUCUUCUGAAAUCUGACUAGGAGACGUCUUCUUCAUAUCUAAUCAAGAUUUGUUUGUUUCAGAGUUCUAAAGAAAGUAGGAAUGUUCCUGUGCUUUUCCGAAACAGAGUUAGAGUGCUCAAGCGUGCGCCAAGGUUCUAACAUUUUCUCGAACGCUUUGUGCUGGUAUGUAUGUCACAUCUUGCUUCCAUUGCAGUCUCAACACCCACUUUGCGUUUCUGCAAUCACUAAUUAUACUCCAGUUUGGUGGGUUCCAAAUGUUGUUGUUGCACAUGUAAAAGAAAGGGAUUCAGGCUACACAUCUAGCUUCUGGAUGUAUCUAUCUCACUGCCUUUUGCUGUUCCACUCUGGUUUUGCUUACUUUCUAAAAUGGGUGUUUUAAUAAUAAUGUUUAUAGAGGCUGGAGAUGUACCAUUUCUCUCACCUCAUCUUCUUAUCAUUGCGGACAUAUGCCCCCUUCUUUUGGGUGAUGGUGAUUUCAUAUUUAUCAUGGAAUAAAAUAACAUGCUAUGGGAGCAGAAACUAUUCACUUAAUUAUUUAAGGCCAAGAAGUAUAAAUCGAGGCACCUCCUCUCCUCUCCUCCCGUUGAUGCUUGAUUGUUACCUGGAAUAAAGAUUGUUUUCAGGAACAUGAAAGUAUUACUGUUUGUUAGGACAUGAUGACUGUUUGUUUACUGCUUUAUGAUUUUGUGUAGAGUUGUGUCCUUCUUGUCCCCUUUUACCCAAGGCCAUCUUGUUGUGUCAAUGGCUGUGUUGCCGUUUCAAGUUUGUCGACGACAUAGUAUCCCCUGUGAUCCUCUUCAGACUAGACUCUUUAGUUUCUAUCUCAUGUUCAUAGCGUUCUAGUUUGUCGACGACAUAGUAUCCCCUGUGAUCUCUUAGUGAAAUGAGAGGUUUGAUUGAUGCUAUAUAGGAUUGGCUAGUUUUGCUUAAUGCAAUGUCUUAUGCAAUCAGAUUACAUUUCUGUUUGUUAUGGUAAUAUAAAAAAUAAUCGUGCUGUCAAAAUUUUCAUAGUGCGUGCCUUUUAUUUCUUUAGUUUGAUUGUUUCCCUUGUAUUCAAUAUGCUUCUAAUGCCUGAUCCUUUCAUUUUUGUUGUGGCAUCUUUAUUUUCACAGGUGUUGUGUGUCCUGGAAGAUGGAAGAGAAAGAAAACUUAUUUUUGUUGAACUAAAUUUUCUGUAUUCUAUUUUGUUGUACUUAUCAUUUGAUAGUUUUGUAUAGGAACAAGUGAUACUAUUUUGAAGGGCUUUAUGGCCUGUGAUGUAAACAUAUUUAGUGCUGAAAUAUGAAAUUAUUUGCAAAAUUUGUCGAAAAGGAGGAUCAUUUGUAUGAAUAUGUGAAUGGGCUGAAAAGAGUAUUGGACCAACUCCUGGAUUGAAUUAUUAU
RNAcentral lists this long non-coding RNA (2851 nucleotides) under Triticum aestivum (bread wheat). Its description in RNAcentral is "long non-coding RNA (TAES_LNC001499)". Lineage: Eukaryota; Viridiplantae; Streptophyta; Magnoliopsida; Poales; Poaceae. The record is from RNAcentral.